GGUGGACAAUGACAAGGAAAUGAUACAAAGCUCAAUGGGUGAACUGAGAGUGAAAGAGGCAGAAAUGGUGAGAGAAAAAGACAACAUGGAUAACAAGAUGGCUAGGCUCAAAGAGGAAGAGGAUAGAAUGCGGGAAGAAAUAGGAAGGAAGAUGGACAUCUUAAAGCAGGAAAGUUGUGAAAUCAAAAGACUUAGAGAUGAAAUUGACAGUGAAAAGGACCAGCUGUAUGCAAAAUUGCUUGAGUUGGAAAAAAUGCAUGAAGAACUAGAUAGAGAGAAGAAGGAAGUGAAAGACAGGAAGGAUGAAACACUGAAAGAGAAAGAUCAGUUGGAAGAGAGGCGAGGUAAGAUAAGUAAGGAGAAAGAGGAAUUGGAUAUCAGUCUUGAACUGAUGAAAAGACAAAGGGAAGACUUGAUGAGCUUGAAGGAUGAAGCAGAAGUACAGACCGAGCCUAUGGAAACAGACUGGAAGGAAAAGCUCACGAGGGAAAGACAACAACUUGAAGAUGUAAAGGAGGAGAUACAGAAGGAAAAAGAAGCCUUUGAGAGAAAGAAGGGAUUGACCAUGAAAGAAAGAGAUGAGUUUGAUCUGAUGAAGUCUGAAACCCAGGGACAAUUGGAGGAAAUAGAACAAAACAAACAAGACAUUCGUGUGGAGAAGGAAAAGCUGGAUCAGAUCAAAGCUGAGUUAGAAAGACGGUCUGAAGACAUCAAUCAGCUCAUGGAUGAGACAAGACAGGAGAGGGGGAAGGUUGAAGAACUGGCUAUCCAAACUCAAAAACAAAGAGAAGAAAUGGUGGGUUUUAUGGAAAAGAACAAACAAAAGCAGAACGAACUGGAACUCAUGACUGACAAGAUUGAAAGAGAGAAACGAGACAUCGAAGACAGUCGGGAUGUGCUAACAAAGGAGAGAGAGGAGCUGGAACAAAUGAGGAGUGAGAUACAGCAACAGAGAGAGGAGCUGGAACAAAUGAGGAGUGAGAUACAGCAACAAAAAGAGGAGACAGAAUCUCACAUGGAAGACCAAAGGAAAGAGAAAGAACAUUUGGAACAAAUGACGACAGACAUGAAAAAACAGUUGCUAGAGGUGGACAAUGACAAGGAAAUGAUACAAAGUUCAAUGGGUGAACUGAGAGUGAAAGAGGCAGAAAUGGUGAGAGAAAAAGACAACAUGGAUAACAAGAUGGCUAGGCUCAAAGAGGAAGAGGAUGGAAUGCGGGAAGAAAUAGGAAGGAAGAUGGACAUCUUAAAGCAGGAAAAUUGUGAAAUCAAAAGACUUAGAGAUGAAAUUGACAGUGAAAAGGACCAGCUGAAUGCAAAAUUGCUUGAGUUGGAGAAAAUGCAUGAAGAACUAGAAAGAGAGAAGAAGGAAGUGAACAACAGGAAGGAUGAAACACUGAAAGAGAAAGAUCAGUUGGAAGAGAGGCGAGGUAAGAUGAGCAAGGAGAAAGAGGAAUUGGAUAUCAGUCUUGAACUGAUGAAAAGACAAAGGGAAGACUUGACAAGCUUGAAGGCUGAAGCAGAAGUACAGACCGAACCUAUGGAAACAGACUGGAAGGAAAAGCUCACGAUGGAAAGACAACAACUUGAAGAUGUAAAGGAGGAGAUACAGAAGGAAAAAGAAGCCUUUGAGAGAAAGAAGGGUUUGACCAUGAAAGAAAGAGAUGAGUUUGAUCUGAUGAAGUCUGAAACACAGGGACAAUUGGAGGAAAUAGAACAAAACAAACAAGACAUUCGUGUGGAGAAGGAAAAGCUGGAUCAGAUCAAAGCUGAGUUAGAAAGACGGUCUGAAGACAUCAAUCAGCUCAUGGAUGAGACAAGACGGGAGAGGGGGAAGGUUGAAGAACUGGCUAUCCAAACUCAAAAACAAAGAGAAGAAAUGGUGGGUUUUAUGGAAAAGAACAAACAAAAGCAGAACGAACUGGAACUCAUGAAUGACAAGAUUGAAAGAGAGAAACAAGACAUCGAAGACAGUCGGGAUGUGCUAACAAAGGAGAGAGAGGAGCUGGAACAAAUGAGGAGUGAGAUACAGCAACAGAGAGAGGAGACAGAAUCUCACAUGGAAGACCAAAGGAAAGAGAAAGAGCAUUUGGAACAAAUGACGACGGACAUGAAAAAACAGUUGCUAGAGGUGGACAAUGACAAGGAAAUGAUACAAAGCUCAAUGGGUGAACUGAGAGUGAAAGAGGCAGAAAUGGUGAGAGAAAAAGACAACAUGGAUAACAAGAUGGCUAGGCUCAAAGAGGAAGAGGAUGGAAUGCGGGAAGAAAUAGGAAGGAAGAUGGACAUCUUAAAGCAGGAAAGUUGUGAAAUCAAAAGACUUAGAGAUGAAAUUGACAGUGAAAAGGACCAGCUGAAUGCAAAAUUGCUUGAGUUGGAGAAAAUGCGUGAAGAACUAGAAAGAGAGAAGAAGGAAGUGAACAACAGGAAGGAUGAAACACUGAAAGAGAAAGAUCAGUUGGAAGAGAGGCGAGGUAAGAUGAGCAAGGAGAAAGAGGAAUUGGAUAUCAGUCUUGAACUGAUGAAAAGACAAGGGGAAGACUUGACGAGCUUGAAGGCUGAAGCAGACGCACAGACCGAGGCUAUGGAAACAGACUGGAAGGAAAAGCUCACGAUGGAAAGACAACAACUUGAAGAUGUAAAGGAGGAGAUACAGAAGGAAAAAGAAGCCUUUGAGAGAAAGAAGGGAUUGACCAUGAAAGAAAGAGAUGAGUUUGAUCUGAUGAAGUCUGAAACCCAGGGACAAUUGGAGGAAAUAGAACAAAACAAACAAGACAUUCGUGUGGAGAAGGAAAAGCUGGAUCAGAUCAAAGCUGAGUUAGAAAGACGGUCUGAAGACAUCAAUCAGCUCAUGGAUGAGACAAGACGGGAGAGGGGGAAGGUUGAAGAACUGGCUAUCCAAACUCAAAAACAAAGAGAAGAAAUGGUGGGUUUUAUGGAAAAGAACAAACAAAAGCAGAACGAACUGGAACUCAUGAAUGACAAGAUUGAAAGAGAGAAACAAGACAUCGAAGAAAGUUGGGAUGUGCUAACAAAGGAGAGAGAGGAGCUGGAACAAAUGAGGAGUGAGAUACAGCAACAGAGAGAGGAGACAGAAUCUCACAUGGAAGACCAAAGGAAAGAGAAAGAACAUUUGGAACAAAUGACGACAGACAUGAAAAAACAGUUGCUAGAGGUGGACAAUGACAAGGAAAUGAUACAAAGUUCAAUGGGUGAACUGAGAGUGAAAGAGGCAGAAAUGGUGAGAGAAAAAGACAACAUGGAUAACAAGAUGGCUAGGCUCAAAGAGGAAGAGGAUGGAAUGCGGGAAGAAAUAGGAAGGAAGAUGGACAUCUUAAAGCAGGAAAAUUGUGAAAUCAAAAGACUUAGAGAUGAAAUUGACAGUGAAAAGGACCAGCUGAAUGCAAAAUUGCUUGAGUUGGAGAAAAUGCGUGAAGAACUAGAAAGAGAGAAGAAGGAAGUGAACAACAGGAAGGAUAAAACACUGAAAGAGAAAGAUCAGUUGGAAGAGAGGCGAGGUAAGAUGAGCAAGGAGAAAGAGGAAUUGGAUAUCAGUCUUGAACUGAUGAAAAGACAAAGGGAAGACUUCACGAGCUUGAAGGCUGAAGCAGAAGCACAGAACGAGGCUAUGGAAAAAGACUGGAAGGAAAAGCUCACGAUGGAAAGACAACAACUUGAAGAUGUAAAGGAGGAGAUACAGAAGGAAAAAGAAGCCUUUGAGAUAAAUAAGGGAUUGACCAUGAAAGAAAGAGAUGAGUUUGAUCUGAUGAAGUCUGAAACACAGGGACAAUUGGAGGAAAUAGAACAAAACAAACAAGACAUUCGUGUGGAGAAGGAAAAGCUGGAUCAGAUCAAAGCUGAGUUAGAAAGACGGUCUGAAGACAUCAAUCAGCUCAUGGAUGAGACAAGACGGGAGAGGGGGAAGGUUGAAGAACUGGCUAUCCAAACUCAAAAACAAAGAGAAGAAAUGGUGGGUUUUAUGGAAAAGAACAAACAAAAGCAGAACGAACUGGAACUCAUGAAUGACAAGAUUGAAAGAGAGAAACAAGACAUCGAAGAAAGUUGGGAUGUGCUAACAAAGGAGAGAGAGGAGCUGGAACAAAUGAGGAGUGAGAUACAGCAACAGAGAGAGGAGACAGAAUCUCACAUGGAAGACCAAAGGAAAGAGAAAGAACAUUUGGAACAAAUGACGACGGACAUGAAAAAACAGUUGCUAAAGGUGGACAAUGACAAGGAAAUGAUACAAAGCUCAAUGUGUGAACUGAGAGUGAAAGAGGCAGAAAUGGUGAGAGAAAAAGACAACAUGGAUAACAAGAUGGCUAGGCUCAAAGAGGAAGAGGAUGGAAUGCGGGAAGAAAUAGGAAGGAAGAUGGACAUCUUAAAGCAGGAAAGUUGUGAAACCAAAAGACUAAGAGAUGAAAUUGACAGUGAAAAGGACCAGCUGAAUGCAAAAUUGCUUGAGUUGGAAAAAAUGCGUGAAGAACUAGAUAGAGAGAAGAAGGAAGUGAAAGACAGGAAGGAUGAAACACUGAAAGAGAAAGAUCAGUUGGAAGAGAGGCGAGGUAAGAUAAGUAAGGAGAAAGAGGAAUUGGAUAUCAGUCUUGAACUGAUGAAAAGACAAAGGGAAGACUUGACAAGCUUGAAGGCUGAAGCAGAAGUACAGACCGAACCUAUGGAAACAGACUGGAAGGAAAAGCUCACGAUGGAAAGACAACAACUUGAAGAUGUAAAGGAGGAGAUACAGAAGGAAAAAGAAGCCUUUGAGAGAAAGAAGGGUUUGACCAUGAAAGAAAGAGAUGAGUUUGAUCUGAUGAAGUCUGAAACACAGGGACAAUUGGAGGAAAUAGAACAAAACAAACAAGACAUUCGUGUGGAGAAGGAAAAGCUGGAUCAGAUCAAAGCUGAGUUAGAAAGACGGUCUGAAGACAUCAAUCAGCUCAUGGAUGAGACAAGACGGGAGAGGGGGAAGGUUGAAGAACUGGCUAUCCAAACUCAAAAACAAAGAGAAGAAAUGGUGGGUUUUAUGGAAAAGAACAAACAAAAGCAGAACGAACUGGAACUCAUGAAUGACAAGAUUGAAAGAGAGAAACAAGACAUCGAAGACAGUCGGGAUGUGCUAACAAAGGAGAGAGAGGAGCUGGAACAAAUGAGGAGUGAGAUACAGCAACAGAAAGAGGAGACAGAAUCUCACAUGGAAGACCAAAGGAAAGAGAAAGAACAUUUGGAACAAAUGACGACAGACAUGAAAAAACAGUUGCUAGAGGUGGACAAUGACAAGGAAAUGAUACAAAGUUCAAUGGGUGAACUGAGAGUGAAAGAGGCAGAAAUGGUGAGAGAAAAAGACAACAUGGAUAACAAGAUGGCUAGGCUCAAAGAGGAAGAGGAUAGAAUGCGGGAAGAAAUAGGAAGGAAGAUGGACAUCUUAAAGCAGGAAAGUUGUGAAAUCAAAAGACUUAGAGAUGAAAUUGACAGUGAAAAGGACCAGCUGAAUGCAAAAUUGCUUGAGUUGGAAAAAAUGCGUGAAGAACUAGAUAGAGAGAAGAAGGAAGUGAAAGACAGGAAGGAUGAAACACUGAAAGAGAAAGAUCAGUUGGAAGAGAGGCGAGGUAAGAUAAGUAAGGAGAAAGAGGAAUUGGAUAUCAGUCUUGA
This is a long non-coding RNA of Oncorhynchus mykiss (rainbow trout), 5649 nucleotides long. The record is from Ensembl. NCBI's taxonomy places the organism in Eukaryota, Metazoa, Chordata, Actinopteri, Salmoniformes, Salmonidae.